Molecule: non-coding RNA, 27 nt
Filed under: Callithrix jacchus (white-tufted-ear marmoset)
Lineage: Eukaryota; Metazoa; Chordata; Mammalia; Primates; Cebidae
Also listed under: 2 other names
Source: RNAcentral
UAGAGUUGUGGUCACUACACUGGAGUC